UACUUUUUGUUUUUUAAAGAAGCUAUAGAGAAACCGUUCAAUCAGCUUUGAGAAAAAACCACCUCUCUCUGGGAAGCAAAUGCUGGGAUAUGUAAGGGUUAAGUAGAGACCUGGGAAACCGCUGGUGUGCUGGCAUAGUAUGAGUGGUUAGAAGCACGGGCAGGCACCGUUUCUGGGCUUGAUAGAUAAAGUGCUACCCCUCUCCCUUCCCUUCUGCUUGUUAAGGAUUGAUAAGCACUGGAGCUGCAUAAGGAAUGUGGGGGUCUAAAGGAUACUCCCUUCCCUGGGAACUGCUGAGUAAGGGAACUUAUGGCUACAAUUACUGCAAAGAAAUGUAUCUUCAAGCAGGAGCAAGAGCUGUCACUGCAUUUCCCAGAGGGGACGGAGCCGCUCACCCACAACUGAAGCACGGAGAGCUGUGGGGUGGAUUGCGCCAGCCAGCAAUGCGAGAGCAAGGAAACGGGGGAAUAAGUUCUGCCAUUGUCCUGCAUGAAGAAAGGAAUCCCCAGAGUUGGAAGCUAGUCAGGACACAGGGCUCCCUCUCCUGUGUGGCCCCUCUGAACACACUAACGAUACUUCACUGCUAACUCAGCCAAACUCUUUCUGAGGGGGCCUGCUAAGGCUGACAUCGGACUGAGCGUAUCCACUGGGAACCUUAAAGGAGUGGGCCAGGAACGACUCUAUUGAAAGAGCUUUGAACCCCAACCGCCGAGGAGCUGAACUGUGCUCUAGGGGAUGUCGCACACCAGAUGUUACCCAUCGGGCAGAUGUUGGCCGUGGCGGGUUUCCGUUCUCUCUAGCAAGACCAGCUCUAGAGUAGGACUUUGUAUUACGAUCUGUCCGAGAGUCGAUGUCCUCAUGCAGGAUUCAGCAGGGAUUGCUACUGUUAAACCUGGCAUGUCACAGUGACACACUUGGCAAUGCCUUUGUUUGGCCCAGGCCGGAUUUACGCAUCUUAAUUCUUCCUCCUCAGCCAGGGCCUGUGGAUGGAUUGGGCUCUGUGCAGUUCGUGGUGGCUCUGACAUGCAGCAUUGCUCAAAGCACAGAGCAUUAUGCAGACCGCAGGUGAGAGAUUACACCUGCUCUCUCUACACAAAACAUCUCCCAGAUAGUAUGUUCUCUCCUCCCUUUUUCUUCUGUGCAGCUGUUGAACGUAUUCUGCUUCUGCCUCCAGCAUGCUGAAGACAACCUGGUUCCUUUUCCUCAGUGACCCAUUCAUUAUACAGAGAUAACCUCAGCUCUCUUGCCUAAGCCAAUGGGAAACCAAAGCAAUCUAACUCAGCUCCUUCAGCUGUCAGUCCCGGUGCACGUCCCAUUGUCUCAGGACAGAGCAGCUGACACAGAACUCAACUCUUGUGAAAAACAAGGAUCCGUAGCACUUCCCGUUUUCAAUGAGUGCAUGAACACACAGUUGCUGCUGAGAGAUUUCACUGAAUGGCUCCUCUGUGCACAACAGACCCUUUGCACAUUUGGAUUUCUUCCUGUGGCAGGGAGUUGACUGACAUUUUUCUAGUUAGAUACCAGGCCCCCACCCUUACUGCAGGGAGCAGAGCCGUAAGGAAACUUUUUUACGCUUGGAACGUGGGUGGGAUUGAUGUAAGCCCUGGAGCCAUCCAAAAACUAGGGGAAACCUUAGGUAUGAGAAGCACCUUAUAGCAAAUCAGGGAAGCUGAUUCCUCUAUUUAUUUGCUCUUCAAGGCCUGGGCUAUUUGUUCAUCACCUGGCCUCACGCUCCCCCGUGUGGGACACUGGAAGUUGUUUCUGGAUAAGUAAGAAGAGGACUGGGGGAUGGGUAGGUGAGCUGAGAAACUCCUAAAUCUGGUCCCAUGCAGAAAAGGCCUAAUGUAGGCGACCCAGGCUAGGCAAGAGGGGGGCCAAGAGUCUCCUUAUAUUCUCCCGCUCAUUCCUCCACUCUCCCCAGGCCUCUGAAAGCCCUGCUCCCGAGAGAAAGAGCACCCUUAGGGGCGACUCUGAAUGCUUAGCUGCAGAGAGCUCUGUCAAGGAGCCCCUCCGUCGGGAACAUUGCCGGGCACUGCCCAGGCCUGCAGGCGCUCAUCAGAGUGACCAAAAUCCCAUGGCAGGUCCAGUGAAUCCAUUGACAGCCCUGCCCUCCCUGACACAGGAACGUGCUCCCUGGUUGGACAGUCACCGACACCAAGUGCUCUAAACCCAGCAAAAGUGCCUGCAAUCACCACGCAGCCAGUUGUGGAGGGGGGACUGGGCAUAUACCCCCGCUUCCUUUGCAUCCUGUCCCGUUACCGUCAGUACACCGCCAGCUUCCUCUGAGCAUGGGUCAUCCAAGAACGGUGCUCACCUGUUCAGGAAUAUGCUGCUGACGUCAUCGUGGGUGAUGGGAGGUUUCUUGGAGCUCGCUGCCAUCCUCAGCGGGCGAAGGAAGUUGUUGACCAGAAUGUGCAGCUGUUGAACGUAUUCUGCUUCUGCCUCCAGCAUGCUGAAGACAACCUGGUUCCUUUUCCUCAUGCUGUCAGCGUGAGGAGACCGGAUAUAGUCCUGAAUGAUCGUCUUCCAUUUUCUCCUGCAUAGCCAGCCCCGUAGAAAGCUCUGGACCUGUUAACAGAUUGACAGUCUCAUUAGGGGUUUUACAUGAUAGCCUGGGCUAGCAUUUAUGCAGCAGUUUAGGUGCAAAGACCAAAAAAGCUCUUCUAUUAACAGACCAUUGUGUGGCAGUUCUACCUCAAUACAUUUGUACAGCGGGUGUGCUAAUGAUGUUCAUGGGGCUUUGCGCUGAACCGUGCAUAACGGUUUCUGUUAUCUGUACUUCGGUACAUCCUCGCUGCAGGGAAAUGAACGAUAACUCAUUUAAAUGCACUUUCUUGUUGCAUACGAUCGCCUCUUUCUCCUUUUACAGAGAUGAAUGUAAGUCUCACUAUUAAAUGAAAAGAAAACCCCAUUAACAUUUGCCUCUUCCACUGCACAUGUAAAAAGUACAGCGCCCUAUACUGUCAGCAGGACUGUGAGGGUAUGAAAAUACCCAACCAACCCAGUACCUAACACAUAUCUGUCCAUCUGUCCAUCUACCAAUUAAUUGAUCAACCAGUAGGUUUGUGCACACACAGAGACAGAUUUGCUAAGUUAAAAACAAAAAGCUUUUGGAAUAUACCCAAAUCUGUAUCUAGAUCUAGCCACAGACAGAUAUAUGCAGCCAGCCCCGCACACCCACUUAAACCUGAAAGUGCAAUGUUUUAAGUCUGAAAUCUCCUACACAACAAACAAAGGCAUCCCAACAACUCAACAGCUCUGAACUGGGGGGGCAUAGCCAGGACUCCUUCUCCUGCACAUGUGUCACUCUAACUGCAGUCAGUGGGAGUUCUCCCUGGAGGUGGAGUAACUGCAGGACCAGGUUUCUGUGCAGGUGAAACUGACCCCAAGAAGAGAUGGUGAUGAUUUUGUGUGCAAGAAGUAGUUAGCCCAAGAUGCUCUCCUGCAAUGGUCAGAUUUAACUCCUUUUCUGCUGGUAGCUUUAGAAACGUUAGAGCAGGCUGUAUAAAAAACAGUGAUUGCUUUAAAGGGCUAUUUGUUCUCUGCAAGGAAUAAUCCAUUCUAACACAAUUUCCUUGCAGCAUCUCGAAGUCUGUAAAUCUCUGCCUGUAGGGAAUCCUGCUUUUCACAGGUCCCCACUGCACUGUUGUGGCAAGAUUUAAGACGGGGCUAUUCAUCUAGGUGCUGGCACCAUUAGGGCAGUGAGGUGCCCACGCCAACAGCAGAAGGGGUCAGUACUGAAGAAGACAGAGACAAUUAACAUAAAGCUUUGCAGAGCAGUGGUGCACAUUCUCCUUCAUGAAUUCAUGGAGCGGGGGCGGCUCGUCGAACAGCCCAGCCCAGUCAACACCGUAACGGGUAGCAAAGACCAAGCUUCACUCCCUGAAAUAAAUUUCAAGUCAAGUGUUCACGUCACGGCUCCUUAAAGGCCAUUAGCACGUACCCAGUGCCAGGGUUUAGUCACAACUUCUGUGAACGUCUUUAACACGACAAAACAAACCUUUUUGAUUUUCCUGAUAUCGCUGUCCUCGUCACUUGGCGCACUGCUCUGAGUGGACUGGAUGCGCUCGUUAUCUUUCAGCAAGGAGGCAAUCUAUAAACACACAGGAAAACACGCUGACCAACAGGUCCAACACCGGCACUGCCAGACAUCUCCGUACACAAGCGCGGGAAGUGAAGACACGUGUGAGCUAAGUCCUGUCCCCAGUUACAUGCAGGCACCAGCCAGUAACUCCAAGGGUCAGAAGUGAAUCGUGAUAAAGUCAUUCGACUCCCGGGCAGUGCUGAGUUCUAGCCCUGAUUCCAUUUUAAAUUACAAUGUAACAGAUCGUGCUGAUUCUGCCUCUAAUGAGAAAGCACUACGGAUGCACUGAUGAAAAGACGACAAGAGUAUCGUAAAGAUCAACAAAAUAAACCAGUUGUAUGUAUUAGAAUGUAUUUGAAAUAUGGGUUGAACACAUUUUAUCCAAGAUAUUUUAAAAAAUGGGAAAUAGCAUGUAACAGUUCUGGGCUAGAAACGUUGCCAGAUACCAAAUGCAAAACUGGGCACCUGCUCUAUGAUAAAGUCUCCAGACAGAGCUUCUCAAGAAAUAGGGUGGGAAGAAAUUGCAGAAAAUUCUCAAGUCACUUUCAUCCUGCAUCUUUCAAAAAUGAACAAGUUUUCAUUUAUUCACCAUUUUGCAUGAACAUUUAUAUGGAACAUUUUAGGCUAUUAAAUUUUCAUUGUCAAAA
This is a long non-coding RNA of Chelonia mydas (Green sea turtle), 4731 nucleotides long. RefSeq lists it as uncharacterized. The record is from RefSeq and is a predicted model, not a curated record. The transcript is spliced from 3 exons. NCBI's taxonomy places the organism in Eukaryota, Metazoa, Chordata, Testudines, Cheloniidae.